Molecule: ribosomal RNA, 440 nt
Filed under: uncultured bacterium
Lineage: Bacteria
Description: bacterial SSU rRNA
Rfam family: Bacterial small subunit ribosomal RNA
Source: RNAcentral
CCUACGGGUGGCUGCAGUCGAGAAUCUUCGGCAAUGCACGAAAGUGUGACCGAGCGACGCUGCGUGUAGGAAGAAGGCCUUCGGGUUGUAAACUACUGUCGUGUGGGAAGAACUUUGACGGUACCACACAAGAAAGGGGCACCUAACUCUGUGCCAGCAGGUGCGGUAAUACAGAGGCCCCGAGCGUUAUCCGGAAUUACUGGGCGUAAAGCGUCCGCAGGCGGAACAAUGCGUCUGCUGUAAAAUCCUCGGGCUCAACCCGACGGGCUGCAGUGGAUACGAUUGUUCUAGAGGCAGGGAGAGGUAAGCGGAACUCCUGGUGAAGCAGUGAAAUGCGUUGAUAUCAGGGGGAACACCAAUUGCGAAGGCAGCUUACUGGUCCUGUCCUGACGCUCAUGGACGACAGCGUGGGUAGCGAAGCGGAUUAGAUACCCCAGUAG